RNAcentral lists this ribosomal RNA (293 nucleotides) under uncultured bacterium. Its description in RNAcentral is "partial 16S ribosomal RNA". It matches the Rfam family "Archaeal small subunit ribosomal RNA", at positions 455 to 747 of the family's 1478-position model. The record is from RNAcentral.
GUGCCAGCCGCCGCGGUAAUACGGGCAGCACGAGUGAUGGCCGAUAUUAUUGGGCCUAAAGCGUCCGUAGCUGGCCGGGCAAGUCCGUUGGGAAAUCCACCCGCUUAACGGGUGGGCGUCCAGCGGAAACUGUCCGGCUUGGGGCCGGAAGACCUGAGGGGUACGUCCGGGGUAGGAGUGAAAUCCCGUAAUCCUGGACGGACCGCCGGUGGCGAAAGCGCCUCAGGAGGACGGACUCGACAGUGAGGGACGAAAGCCAGGGUCUCGAACCGGAUUAGAAACCCGAGUAGUCC